RNAcentral lists this transfer RNA (85 nucleotides) under Felis catus (domestic cat). It matches the Rfam family "tRNA". Rfam says of the family: Transfer RNA (tRNA) molecules are approximately 80 nucleotides in length. Their secondary structure includes four short double-helical elements and three loops (D, anti-codon, and T loops). The record is from Rfam by way of RNAcentral. Lineage: Eukaryota; Metazoa; Chordata; Mammalia; Carnivora; Felidae.
GCCUGGGUGGCUCAGUUGGUUAAGCGUCUGACUUCGGCUCAGGUCAUGAUCUCGUGGUUCAUGGGUUCAAGUCCUGCCUUGGGCU